This 2003-nucleotide long non-coding RNA is filed under the name Sorghum bicolor (sorghum). Its description in RNAcentral is "long non-coding RNA (SBIC_LNC002906)". The record is from RNAcentral. Lineage: Eukaryota; Viridiplantae; Streptophyta; Magnoliopsida; Poales; Poaceae.
UAUGAUGAGAGUUUAACAUCCUACCACACCCAUAUAUACAUGCUUGCUAUACUUUGAGCCACACAUUUACUUUUUACUGCUUAUGAGCAUUGAGUGUGGUCCAGCUGUGUCGACCCUUAGGAGCUUGUCAUGUGGUUAAAAUCAAGAUUCACUUGCACGUUCACUCAUACAUGCUACUUCUACUCCGGAAGUACCAUCCACAUAUAUCCACUCAUUUCCAUCUCCACAUUUACCCGAAAUUACUCUACUCCUAAUCCGGGAGAGAAUAGCCAAAAAUAUUUUCCUAUCCCUGUUAUUCCCUGUAAAAUAAAUGCUCGAGUUAUCUUGGUUACUACCACUUGCUAUAUUAUUUCAGGAAAUGAGUGCUCUAAAAAAAGAAAAAAAAGGAAAAAAAAUAAUAAUAAAAUAAAUAAUAUAUGAGGAAAUAAAAAGGGGCAAGUGCCCGGAACCUCGAAGAAAAAAAAAAGUGAGACGAGAGGUAAAAAUGGACAAGUGUCCGAUAGUAGAAUUAGGGGUACAAGAUACCCACCUGAGAGGAAAGAGAAAGAAAAUAUAGAGCAUCUCAUUCUCCUCAUAAAGUUUCAAAAGCAAGGAAGGUAUGUAUCCCCUCAAAGAGCAAAGUAGAAUUAGACUUCCACCACCAUUAUCACCAUCAUCACCAUACACCAUUCACAUGCACAUCUUCAUUUGGCUUAUUGAUUUGUUUCUUUGGAUCCAUGGUUUGACUAUGCAAUAAAUGUCUUGUAAGUAUGUAUACUUUAUCUCCCACCUAUGAGCUCCAGAUAUUAAAGCCUUAUUAGAGUAGGGUGAGAGAGAAGACAAUGUCACUAUGCUUCAUACCACAAAUACCACAUAUCUUGAGAGAAGGCAUAUACCAUCACUGCCUUGGUAAGGAUCCAAAAAUACCACAAAAGAGAGACCUGAGAGAAUCAUACAAGGAAUUUCUGAGUUUUAUUUGAAAAUCUGCAAAAACCCCAGAGCUAUAGCUGAUCAAGAAUAAGAGACAUGGCACUUGGCUAGACUGUUCUAUCUUUUAACCACUCAAGACAGAAGUGACGGUUACAAGUCCUAUGGUGUAGGUAAAUUAAGUAAGUUUUAAGUCUUAACAGUUUAUUCUAACUCAGGGAUGAGAUCUUGCUUAAAUGCGUGUGUACUUCUAAGAAAUGAAACCACUGUAGAAACUCUUGAGUUCAUCCUUGCUCAGGGACGAGCAAGAGGUAAGCUUGGGGGAGUUUGUUGACGGUCCUUAAGUAUCAAAUUUAAUUAUCAAAUAAACAAAGAAAAGGAUCCAAAUGAAAUCAACAUCUAGACUUAGGGUUUUAUCUGACAGAAUUCCACGAGUUUUGGUGUUUGUCUAUUUCUGCAGGGGGUUAUCAGGAAAUAUGGAAGAAAGGCCUACAAGUCGGGAUUACAUAGAGAUAUUAACGUGCCGCGCAAUUUUCUAUCAUCUAGAAGACUCCAGACGCCACGGGAACGAACGGGAGGCCGAACGGACCCGAGGGCAGGGCGCCCGCCCUCUCCCCUUGGGCGCCCGCCCAGGUGUUUCCACCAAUCACAGAAUGGAGUACACCAUUGCAAAGAUCUCGUCGAGCUGAUCGAAAUGCAUAUAUUAUUUGCUAUAUUUGGAGUUCGGAAUCAAGAGAUAUUAAUAAAAGAAGGACUCCAUAUAAAAGAGCUGCGAGAUUAAUUGGGCUCAAAUCAGAUUUUGGUCCAUUAAGGCCUAUGUGCAUUUUAAUGAGAUAUGGUGGAAAGUUUAGUACCACAUCGCCUGCUGAACCAAAAACACAUAGAAGGGGAGGACUAUAUAAGGAGACCCCCCUGGCCCCUGGAGAAGACAUGAAGAAAUUAUCAUAGAGAUUGAGGGGUGCCCUCGAAGGAAAACCUCUUCUCUAAAUAAUAUUUCUUUUUAGGCUUAGCAACCAAUGUAAAGUAGAAAUAGAUCUUCUAGUUUCUACUAGAUUGAGAGAGAUAGAGUGGAGGUGUGGAUCGGAGGAAGGCCGGCC